RNAcentral lists this ribosomal RNA (433 nucleotides) under uncultured bacterium. RNAcentral's name for it is "partial 16S ribosomal RNA". It matches the Rfam family "Bacterial small subunit ribosomal RNA", at positions 29 to 507 of the family's 1533-position model. The record is from RNAcentral.
ACGAACGCUGGCGGCAUGCCUAACCCAUGCCAGUCGAACAAGAUCUUCGGGUCUAGUGGCGCACGGGUGCGUAACGCGUGGGAAUCUGCCCUCAGGUUCGGAAUAACCAUUGGAAACGAUGGCUAAUACCGGAUGAUGACGUUAAGUCCAAAGAUUUAUCGCCUGAGGAUGAGCCCGCGUAGGAUUAGCUAGUUGGUGUGGUAAAGGCGCACCAAGGCGACGAUCCUUAGCUGGUCUGAGAGGAUGAUCAGCCACACUGGGACUGAGACACGGCCCAGACUCCUACGGGAGGCAGCAGUGGGGAAUAUUGGACAAUGGGCGAAAGCCUGAUCCAGCAAUGCCGCGUGAGUGAUGAAGGCCUUAGGGUUGUAAAGCUCUUUUACCCGGGAUGAUAAUGACAGUACCGGGAGAAUAAGCUCCGGCUAACUCCGUG